Molecule: non-coding RNA, 72 nt
Organism: Pangasianodon gigas (Mekong giant catfish)
Lineage: Eukaryota; Metazoa; Chordata; Actinopteri; Siluriformes; Pangasiidae
Source: the annotation of a GenBank genome assembly
UCCCUGGAAGGCUAGUAGUUAGGCCUCGGGGCUCUCACCGCUGCGGCCCAGGUUCAAUUCCUGGCCAGGGAA